Molecule: ribosomal RNA, 431 nt
Filed under: uncultured bacterium
Lineage: Bacteria
Description: partial 16S ribosomal RNA
Rfam family: Bacterial small subunit ribosomal RNA
Source: RNAcentral
AACGAACGCUGGCGGCAGGCCUAACACAUGCAAGUCGAGCGCACCGCUAGGUGAGCGGCAGACGGGUGAGUAACGCGUGGGAAUCUACCCAACCCUACGGAAUAACCCUGGGAAACUUGGACUACUACCGGAUACGCCCUCUUGGGGCGAGGAUUAUCGGGGACGGAUGAGUCCGCGAGGGAUUAGCUAGUUGGCGGGGUAAAGGCCUACCAAGGCGACGAUCCAUAGCUGGUCUCAGAGGAUGAUCCGCCACAUUGGGACUGAGACACGGCCCGAACUCCUACGGGAGGCAGCAGUGGGGAAUAUUGGACCGUGGGCGCAAGCCUGAUCCAGCCAUGCCGCGUGAGUGAUGAAGGCCUUAGAGUUGUAAAGCGCUUUCAGCAGUGAAGAUAAUGACGGUACCUACAGAGGAAGCCCCGGCUAACUUCGUG